GCGAGAGUGGUGAAAUUGGUAUACACGCUAGUCUUAGGAACUAGUGCCUCCGCGUGAGGGUUCGAGUCCCUCCUCUCGCA
Molecule: transfer RNA, 80 nt
Filed under: Candidatus Ornithospirochaeta avicola
Lineage: Bacteria; Pseudomonadati; Spirochaetota; Spirochaetia; Spirochaetales; Spirochaetaceae
Description: tRNA-Leu
Rfam family: tRNA
About the family: Transfer RNA (tRNA) molecules are approximately 80 nucleotides in length. Their secondary structure includes four short double-helical elements and three loops (D, anti-codon, and T loops).
Source: RNAcentral